RNAcentral lists this ribosomal RNA (368 nucleotides) under uncultured Methanosaeta sp. RNAcentral describes it as "bacterial SSU rRNA". It matches the Rfam family "Archaeal small subunit ribosomal RNA", at positions 970 to 1338 of the family's 1478-position model. The record is from RNAcentral. Lineage: Archaea; Methanobacteriati; Methanobacteriota; Methanomicrobia; Methanotrichales; Methanotrichaceae.
ACCGGAUUAGCUGAGAGGUGGUGCAUGGCCGUCGUCAGUUCGUACUGUGAAGCAUCCUGUUAAGUCAGGCAACGAGCGAGACCCACGUCCACAGUUGCCAGCAUACCCUCCGGGGUGAUGGGUACACUGUGGAGACCGCCGCUGCUAAAGCGGAGGAAGGAAUGGGCAACGGUAGGUCAGUAUGCCCCGAAUCUCCCGGGCUACACGCGGGCUACAAUGGUUGGUACAAUGGGCAUCUACCCCGAAAGGGGAAGGAAAUCUCUUAAAGCCAAUCGUAGUUCGGAUUGAGGGCUGCAACUCGCCCUCAUGAAGCUGGAAUCCGUAGUAAUCGCGUUUCAACAGAACGCGGUGAAUACGCCCUGCUCCUU